ACGAACCGUCCAAACGUUAUUCGGAAUUACUGGGCUUAAAGGGUUCGUAGGCGGCCUUGUAAGUGAGAUGUGAAAUCCCACGGCUCAACCGUGGAAGUGCAUUUCAUACUGCAAGGCUUGAGGGAGACAGAGGUAAGCGGAACUGAUGGUGGAGCGGUGAAAUGCGUUGAUAUCGGGAGGAACAUCUGUGGCGAAGGCGACUACCUGGACCAGCACUGACACUGAGGCACGAAAGCGUGGGGAGCAAACAGGA
Molecule: ribosomal RNA, 253 nt
Filed under: uncultured prokaryote
Description: partial 16S ribosomal RNA
Rfam family: Bacterial small subunit ribosomal RNA
Source: RNAcentral